Molecule: ribosomal RNA, 425 nt
Filed under: uncultured bacterium
Lineage: Bacteria
Description: bacterial SSU rRNA
Rfam family: Bacterial small subunit ribosomal RNA
Source: RNAcentral
UGGGGAAUCUUGCGCAAUGGGCGAAAGCCUGACGCAGCGACGCCGCGUGAGUGAUGAAGGCCUUCGGGUUGUAAAGCUCUGUGGGAAGGGAAGAAUAAGUGCGGGCUAAUAUCCUGCAUGAUGACGGUACCUUCUUAGCAAGCACCGGCUAACUCUGUGCCAGCAGCCGCGGUAAGACAGAGGGUGCAAACGUUGUUCGGAAUUACUGGGCGUAAAGCGCGUGUAGGCGGCUGCGCAAGUCGGAUGUGAAAUCCCAUGGCUCAACCAUGGAAGUGCACCCGAAACUGCGUAGCUAGAGUCUCGGAGAGGAAGGUGGAAUGCUUGGUGUAGAGGUGAAAUUCGUAGAUAUCAAGCAGAACACCGGUGGCGAAGGCGGCCUUCUGGACGAUGACUGACGCUGAGACGCGAAAGCGUGGGGAGCAAAC